CGAGACCUCAGGUCAGGCGGGACUACCCGCUGAGUUUAAGCAUAUCAAUAAGCGGAGGAAAAGAAACU
This 68-nucleotide ribosomal RNA is filed under the name Bionia coriacea. RNAcentral describes it as "partial 26S ribosomal RNA". It matches the Rfam family "Eukaryotic large subunit ribosomal RNA", at positions 1 to 66 of the family's 3401-position model. Lineage: Eukaryota; Viridiplantae; Streptophyta; Magnoliopsida; Fabales; Fabaceae. The record is from RNAcentral.